CCCAUUGAAGAUGAAGAAUUGGUAACCCAAAUUCUCAAUGGUCUUGAUUAUGAAUAUAAUCCUUUUGUGUCUUCUGCCCUUGGCCGGGUCGACACGACUUCUCUCGACGAUCUGUACUCUCAACUUCUUGCAUAUGAUG
This is a small nucleolar RNA of Panicum virgatum (switchgrass), 139 nucleotides long. RefSeq annotates it as small nucleolar RNA Z247. Lineage: Eukaryota; Viridiplantae; Streptophyta; Magnoliopsida; Poales; Poaceae. The record is from RefSeq and is a predicted model, not a curated record. The transcript has a single exon.